Molecule: long non-coding RNA, 467 nt
Filed under: Physcomitrium patens
Lineage: Eukaryota; Viridiplantae; Streptophyta; Bryopsida; Funariales; Funariaceae
Description: long non-coding RNA (PPAT_LNC010862)
Source: RNAcentral
GACAAAAUAGAAAUAUGUAUAUUAAGAAAGAAACUGGAAUGGCUAUUGCCAAAAUACAAGAAAACUAGAGACCCUUGAAACUAGACUAGAAGCAAGAAAGGAGAUUGACAAGAGUGAAGAGGGCUUCACUCUUGCCUCUAUAUAUACUAUCUAACUAGAAGCCACGUGGCGAUGUUCUAUAAGACCUCCAAUAUAUGUUGACUUUCUAGGCCACAUGCCUUUGCUUGCAAGGCAAGUUUUCUAUAGAUGGACCACGUAGUUAGCUUGUUCUUUAAGCUUCCAACAUGCGCGGCACAUGGCUAACUUGUUGACCAAGUUUCUAACCUAAAAGUCAACUAUAGACUCCUAUAAAGUCAAAGCAGCGUCUAUGAAGCUUCUAAGAAGCUUCUCUAGAAGAUAUUACACAAUUGACCUACUUUUACAUACUUUUAUCUAUUCAUAUAGGUAAUUAUAUGUAUGUCCGUGAC